This is a long non-coding RNA of Hordeum vulgare subsp. vulgare (domesticated barley), 3318 nucleotides long. RefSeq lists it as uncharacterized. NCBI's taxonomy places the organism in Eukaryota, Viridiplantae, Streptophyta, Magnoliopsida, Poales, Poaceae. The transcript is spliced from 6 exons. The record is from RefSeq and is a predicted model, not a curated record.
CUAAAGCAUAAAGAUUUGAUUUGUUACGAUAUCAAGUAAGGAAUAUCUCCCUACAUAAUUUGUGGAGUCAGGCCAAUCUGUAAAAAGAAAAUAAGAUAAGUGACUUGCGAAGCAAGGAAGACAGAGGAAGAGGACGACAAAGAAAAGAAUGUAUAUCUUGGGAAAGGCAAAGGGGAAGAGGAAGAGGAAGUAGCAGCUCAGUUUGGUUGUCGUCACUUUCAGAAGACUGCCUCUCAUACAACGUCAUUGAUUUGAGUUCUGGUAAGCGGCGAUAAUUGGCAUUCUUUAGUGGGAAGGGGAGCUAUGAAAUGCUACACGCAGAAAUAAAUAUCUUCCUGCAGUAUGCAGAUCGUGGGGUAGUAUUCCCUCUUAAAGAAAAACCUACAACUACACAAGUAGGCAUCUUAUAUUAUAUAUAAGAUGCUAAUGCAGAUGUUACACAAGAAUUCGUAAGCAGAAUAUCUUGGGGGCAUUUAAUUUUGAUGCUGCAAAUUAGUAACAUUAGAAGGUAACAAUAGUACUGGUCAGCUCUUCUUACAACAAUAUCCUGUGGUUAUAUACAUCCCUAUGCUAACAGCCAUUUCAUUCGUCCAUUUCCGUUGCACAGGAGCAAAAGUAGGAAGCCUCUGCGAAACAAACCACCAUCAUUCUGUGCCAUUGACAGCCCCCAUACUGCAGCUGGUUGUUGUAGAUCCUUCACCCGUGAUGGAUCUUACCAAGGUGCCACAUUACUGCAACGGUGGGUUCUACUCCUUGACAAACCUCAUCGAUGGCAAAUUUGGCGUUCUUCCCCAUAACUUUGAUAAGCCUUGUGAAGUAGAGGACUGAGCCAUAGAGAUAUUGGAGCAGAUGAUAAAGUGAGAUGCGGGUAAAACCUUGGCGUCCAGCAGUUUAUAAUAUGCAGUGUCCUCGAUGACGCAAUCAGGAGAAAUCAGCUUCUCGAGCCGUGUGAUGUCCUUAUCAUUGAGGGAGGAGUAGAACUCCUGAAUCACAUCUGUCAGGGGUGAAGAUGCUGGUGGCGGGACUGCAGGCCGUGUUUUAGGUUGAAAGAGGGAGGCUGGAAGGAGACAAGCGUGAGGGCCGAAUUCAUGGCGUUUGGGUGUUUGCAUGCAGAAAGCGGUGAAGGCAUAGAGGAAUGACAUGUAGAGCUGGUGAGCAUUUUUAGUUGCUUGGUGGUUAGAGAAUGAAUCUGAGUAUAUAUGUAGGGGAAGAAGCUUCUUCCUGGCAUCGAAUGGUAAAAGCAUAAACAUUUAUUGGUUACCUUAUGAAGUAAGGAAUCGCUUUGGAUAUAAUAUAUAGAGCCAGGCAAGGCAAGGCAAGAAUCAUGCGAUUCUGUAAAAAGGUAUUGCUUAAUUUGUUCCUUUUGCUAUGCUUGCUUUACAAUGAGUUUCCCUGACAUGUGUUCAGGUAUACAGGAGAGAGGAAAAAUAGACUUGGGAAAGAGAAAGACACGGAGAAAGUUGCGGAAUUGUUGGGUCGUCCCCUUCUGGAAGAAGCCUAAUUAAGCUGCCUUCUACUUGCUCGACUUCCCAACUGCUUUCUUCGUGGCAGCAGCAAGAGGAGGAAGAGGGAACAUGUCUUGGUCCCUGACUUCCUUCUCCAUGGUCCUCGUCUCCUCCAGCGUGCCUCAUGGCUCAUCUGCCUCAUCUUCUUUCUUUGAAUACUUUCCGCAUGGAUGCCAGCUUACUUGGUUGCGCCUCCUCCUCCUGCUCCUGAUGCUUCAACACAAAUGAGCCAGUACACACUCUUUCUUGGUAUAUCCAGAUGACCCGACAGAGGCGGCACGAACCGUUGAGGCCAUGCCCUUUCAGUCUGACUUGUCGAUAUACAUGAAUCUUUUGUCCACAUCGAGCAUGAAACGACAAGAAGAGUAAUUCAGGAUUCACUGUUGUCCGACGGCAUUUUUUCUUCUUCAACGGUUUCACGGAAAUUUCGGUGCAUAUGAGACAUUAUAUGAACAAAUUAUGUUCCACCCCUACUGAAACCAUAAUCUUUUAGAGUCAAUGCAGAGUAUGGUAUUGAUGGUAUCCACUUAGUUAGUUAACCAAGGAAUGAUACAUAGGCACCGCACAAUAGUAAUAUUAAAAUGCGUGACAGUUAAUAGCAUUGCUCAGUACACCCUCUGUAAAGAAAUAUAUGAUCGUUUAGAUAGUACAACAAUAUCAUGUGGUUAUAUAUAUACAUAUGUACAUACAUCCCCUAUGCUGACAGUCAUUUUCUUUUAAGAGUGAAAUGACGUAGUUUUUUGUUUUGUUUCACAGGAGCAAGCAAGCCUCGGGAAACAAGCCAACAUCUCCGAGAAUUGAUUGCUAUUCCUCCGAAUGUGGGAUUUCCUGUGGUAUUAGCUGGCUCCUUACAUCACCAACUCUUUGCAUAUGCUAUACAAAAUGAGGAGCACCGUAAUCAAUCCGUAUGCACCAUAUCUGAAAAGCAACGCGAUAAGCUCCAUGCAGGAUUCAUAAAGCUUCACAGAGGCCUCGAGUCCUGCUGCAUUCCGUAGAAAUCCUGCAUGUGUACGUACUUCCAUGCUUAGCAAGUGGUACUGGUUUAUUUAUUUAUUUUUUACUGAAAAGUUGAAUUUAUGAAGCACAUACUUUCAGCCGAUUCUGGAUCUUGGUCGAACGAAUAGGCAAAGGAAUGAAGUAUGUCCUGUAGGGAUUGGAAUAUUUCAUGGGAGGCAAUUAUUAGUCAGACUAAGAAAUAUUAUAGUUGGAUGCAGCAGCCUACCAAUUCCCGGUUUCCUUGUUUCACAGGCGAGUCGUUGAAGAUAUGAACUUUCCUGCAGCGUGGGUGAAAACAUUUAUUUAUUUACAUCUAAAAGAAAAUUAUCUAGAGGCUGCCCAAAACCCUCCUUUUCAAAUAGAACCAUAAGAAAUAUAAUCUCCAAGAGAUGCAUGGAAAUAUAGAAACAUGGCAUUAAUAUUAUAUACAGAAUGUUUUCUUGAGAAUCUCUGCUACCUGAUAAGAAGCUCUUCUCCGUUUGCUGAACAAGUGCAGAAACUAAGGCCUUCGGUAAACGGGAUGAUCUUACCCUUCCACUCUGCAACAAGAUGAUAUGAUUACCAUGUACCAGAGACUGCCUGCCAUUUUAAUGCAAAAAACUCCAUGCUGCAGGUUCUUACCAAGGUGCCACAUUACUACAGCAACAGCGGGUUCUACUCCUUGACAAACCUCAUCGAUAGCAAAUUUGGCAUUCUUCCCCAUAGACCCCAUGAGCCUUGCGAAAGAUAUUGGAGCAGAUGAGAUGGGAGAAUAACCUUGAAGGUGAGUGGUUUGUAAUAGGAAGCAUGCUCGACGGUGCAAUCAGGGUGAAUCAGC